Molecule: long non-coding RNA, 614 nt
Organism: Daphnia pulicaria
Lineage: Eukaryota; Metazoa; Arthropoda; Branchiopoda; Diplostraca; Daphniidae
Exons: 3
Source: RefSeq, a predicted model, not a curated record
UGAGACGACGGCAACCGCCUCGAUCAUUUGUCGAGUCAAAACAUUCAAAGUGUCGAUCGUAAUUCACCUCGGGUGCCUUCGUUUCUGUUCGCCCGCCAACAACAUCGCAGCAAACCUUCGUCUACUCGCAGUAACAACAUUGUUGACAGGUUGAUUCCAUCUCGUUCAGAAACGAAUAUGCAGUUGGCUCACAGCAUCGUUUGUCGCCCAUGUCACAUCUUCAUGCCGGAUAUCAUUACGACUUUGAGCAACAGGGCAGCCCCCAACAAAGCACGCCAAUUCUCAAGUUUGGCAAUUUUCUUGUGAAAGAAAAACCUAUGGCUUAUUUGGCUUGAGGUACGUCGCCUAAAUCCAAAUUUAAAAUCCCCACUUCACCCCAUCGAGUGAUGCCAGUCCUGCAACCUUUUAGAGAACAUGGUAACCAGAGCACUCACUGGGCGCCAUCAGACGAAUUCCUGGUGGCCAAAAAGAGAUGGAGUUACUGCGAGUGGACGAAGGUUUGCUGCGAUGUUGUUGGCGGGCGAACAGAAACGAUGGCACCCGAGGUGUUAUACAAUCGACACUUUGAAUGUUUUGACUCGACAAAUGAGGCGGUGCCGUCGUCUCACCGUCUA